Unclassified non-coding RNA from Papio anubis (olive baboon), 148 nucleotides. It matches the Rfam family "Metazoan signal recognition particle RNA". From Rfam's summary of the family: The signal recognition particle (SRP) is a universally conserved ribonucleoprotein. It is involved in the co-translational targeting of proteins to membranes. The record is from Ensembl. Lineage: Eukaryota; Metazoa; Chordata; Mammalia; Primates; Cercopithecidae.
GCCAGGUGUGGUGGUGUGCACCUGUAGUCCCAGCUACUUGGGAGGUGGAGGCAGGAGGAUUGCUUGAGCCCAGGAGGUUCAGGCUGCAGUGAGCCAAGAUCGCGCCACUGCACUCCAGCCUGGGCAACAGAGUGAGACCCUGUCUCUA